CUACUUGCCACACGGUAAGAAACUCUUCCUGAUGACAGAAGGGUAUGAAGAUUUGUAAUAGCUUGAAUUUUAAGUGUCUUAUGUCUACGCUGGAUAGAAGAAGAAUUAAGAGACUUAUUGAUUCGAGGAAGAUUUAGACCAGUCACUGAGGAGGAACUAGCAGGAAGAGAUUUUCAAGGCAGGUCCUUGGGCUGUGUGUGGCAAUUGGGCACGUACCUGUUGGAAAUGCUUCAGGCAGAGAGCAACCUGUCUGUAGAGCCCCGGUACAGCAGGGUGCUGGCCUGAAACCAAUGUUCUGUGGGACUGGAGCCAGAAACAGGAUCAGGGUUGCAGGAAGAACCCUGAAAAGAAAGGCUCUUCUUUCAGGUAAUCAUUAAGGUUGGAAAACGCCUCUAAGAUCAUCUAGUCCAACCAUCAAAUCAGUUUUGGUCUUAGGUGUACAAAUGCCUCAAGUUCCCUCAGCAUGGCUUGGGUGCUGCAGAUCUGAGACUAAAUAUUGACAUAUUGGAUGAUAUAUAUAGGAAUGCCCCAGCCAUACUGGAGGGGUGACAUUGUUUUCUUUAAAACUCUAUCACUGUCUGGGUAUUAGUUUAUUUUUCCUGGGAAAAAUAUAGUGUAUAUAUUCACACACACAUAUAUAUAUGUAUUAGUGAACAAAGAAGACAUCUAAUGGAUAACAUCUAUCUAAUGGAUAAAAUCUACCUAAUGGGUCUUAUGAGAUCGAAUGAAUCUUAUCCAUUCCUGUAUGAGGAAGUCUGAGAGACCUGGGACUGUUUAGCCUGGAGAAGAGAAGGCUGAGAGAGGAUCUCAUCACUGUUUGUAAACAUCUAAAGUGAGAGGAAUCAAGUCAGUGGGGUGGACUCCUUUUGGUGGUGAGCAGCAAUAAAACAAGGGGUAAUGGGCAGAAACGAGAACACAGGAAGUUCCACAAUAACACAAGGAGGAACUUCUUUACCGUCAGAAUGACAGAGCACUGGAACUGCCCAGUUCAGGCUGCCCAGAGAGGUUGUGGAGUCUCCUUCUCAGGAGAUAUUCAAGAUCCAUCUGGACACCUACCUGUGCAACCUGCUGUAGAGAACCUGCUUUAACAGGGCUUGACUUGAUGAUCUCUAGAAGUCCCUUCCAACCCCUAUAAUUCUGUUUGAUUUCCAUGUGAUUUUUAGUGCAACAGAUCUGGAGCCAUGUUUGUGCAAAGUUUUUCAACUAUUUUCUUACUCACGCAAUAGUUUUGCCAUAAAAUUUUUGGUGCCCUAAGGUCAUGGAGAACAAAUGAUUGCAUUUGAUGAUCAGAAGGCUGGAGUAUCUCCCCUAUGAAGACAGUCUGAAGGAGCUGAGUUUGUUCAGCCUGGAGAAGAAAAGGCUGUAGGGAGACCUCAUUGCAGCUUUCUAACAUUUAAAGGGAGAUUAUAAACAGGAGAAAAAUCAACUUUUUACAGUGAUAGGAAUGGUUUUAAACUAAAGGAGUGAAGCUUUAGAUUAGAUGUCAGAGGGAAGUUUUGCACAGAGAGGGCGGUGAGGCCCUGGCAGCGGUUGCCCCGAGAAGCUGUGGAUGCCCAUCCCUGGAGGUGUUCAAGGCCGGGUUGGUUGGGGCUCUGGACAGCCUAAUCCAGUGCCUGAUAUAGUAGUUGACAACCCUGUCCACGGCAAGGGGUUAGAACUAGAUGAUCUCUGAGGGCCUUUCCAAACCAAGCCAUUCUAUGAGUUGUUUAAUUUCUUCCUCCCUUCCCAUUUUCCAAGCAAACAAACAGCUUGCUUUCUCUGCAGGCUGAUUAAAAUGGGUUUUUGACUAGACAGCCUUACGGGGAUUGUAUUUUCUCUGAAUGGACUUGUGUGUGAAGAACACAGAUGAGUCACUGGUGAAAUAAUCCAAUGGGUGGAGGAUGAUGAAUCGGCUAACACUGAAAUGUCGUGUUUCAUUCCUCUGCUAAGAUACCAGCAGCGAGUUGUGCUGGUUUUCAGUGGGAAAUCAUUUGAGAGCCACAACAAGUGAAGAAGUGGUGAAGGGCAGAGCAUCUUGCCCAGAGCAUUGCUGUCCAAAGAAGCUGUGGGUGCACCAUCCCUGGAGGCACUCAAGGCAGGUUGAAUGGGGCCCUGGGUGGCACUGUCCAUGCAGGGGGUUGGAACUGGAUGAUCUUUGAGGUCCCUUCCAACCCAAGCCGUUCUAUGACUCUGUUCUGAUUCUUGCUGUCCUGCUUGCAUGUGAGUCCUGGAUAGGCACAAACAUAGGAGGAGAGAGAUGGAUUCUUCCCCUUGUCUCGAGUUAGAAUCAUUGAGGCUUUGCAGACCCAUCCACAGUCUCUCUGUGCAUCACUUUGACUUUUGUCAGCUCUUUAUGCAUAAAAGGGUGAUUUCUAAUGGUUCCCCAGGUGCUGCACAGGAAGAGGAAGGGAUUUCCCAUGAGGAUAUGUUUGUUGCUUUCACCACUCGGGCAUUCAGCUCUGCUGGCACAUGUGUGAUAGUUAGUGCUGUGUUUCAGCUGUUCAUUAGUGGUUACUGUUGGUGAUUGCUGCAGCCAGGAGCCAGGUGGCUGCAAGGGCUGGUGGACCACGAGAUGUCACUGCAGGCUCAGCCCCAGCCACAGAAUCCCCUUCAUUUGCAAAGCAUCUGAAAAUCUAGCAGUCAGUGCUCAUUAGCACCAAGGGGGGGAAAGUG
This 2652-nucleotide long non-coding RNA is filed under the name Gallus gallus (chicken). Lineage: Eukaryota; Metazoa; Chordata; Aves; Galliformes; Phasianidae. The record is from RNAcentral.